AGACCCGAAACCCGGUGAUCUAGCCAUGGGCAGGUUGAAGGUUGGGUAACACUAACUGGAGGACCGAACCGACUAAUGUUGAAAAAUUAGCGGAUGACUUGUGGCUGGGGGUGAAAGGCCAAUCAAACCGGGAGAUAGCUGGUUCUCCCCGAAAGCUAUUUAGGUAGCGCCUCGUGAAUUCAUCUCCGGGGGUAGAGCACUGUUUCGGCAAGGGGGUCAUCCCGACUUACCAACCCGAUGCAAACUGCGAAUACCGGAGAAUGUUAUCACGGGAGACACACGGCGGGUGCUAACGUCCGUCGUGAAGAGGGAAACAACCCAGACCGCCAGCUAAGGUCCCAAAGUCAUGGUUAAGUGGGAAACGAUGUGGGAAGGCCCAGACAGCCAGGAUGUUGGCUUAGAAGCAGCCAUCAUUUAAAGAAAGCGUAAUAGCUCACUGGUCGAGUCGGCCUGCGCGGAAGAUGUAACG
This 469-nucleotide ribosomal RNA is filed under the name Escherichia coli. RNAcentral describes it as "partial 23S ribosomal RNA". It matches the Rfam family "Bacterial large subunit ribosomal RNA", at positions 711 to 1177 of the family's 2925-position model. The record is from RNAcentral. Lineage: Bacteria; Pseudomonadati; Pseudomonadota; Gammaproteobacteria; Enterobacterales; Enterobacteriaceae.